RNAcentral lists this non-coding RNA (71 nucleotides) under unclassified sequences. Its description in RNAcentral is "skipping-rope RNA". It matches the Rfam family "skipping-rope RNA". Rfam says of the family: Firmicutes, Fusobacteria, AlphaProteobacteria, Spirochaetes. Downstream gene The record is from Rfam by way of RNAcentral.
AUAUCAAGAGGACAGAACAGGCAUCUGUCACCCUUUGUGGAGAUGUAGGGUACGCCGACCUACCUUGAUAU